RNAcentral lists this ribosomal RNA (207 nucleotides) under uncultured bacterium. RNAcentral describes it as "partial 16S ribosomal RNA". It matches the Rfam family "Bacterial small subunit ribosomal RNA", at positions 568 to 774 of the family's 1533-position model. The record is from RNAcentral.
CUUGUAGGUGGUUUGUCGCGUCUGCUGUGAAAAUCCGAGGCUCAACCUCGGACUUGCAGUGGGUACGGGCAGACUAGAGUGUGGUAGGGGAGACUGGAAUUCCUGGUGUAGCGGUGGAAUGCGCAGAUAUCAGGAGGAACACCGAUGGCGAAGGCAGGUCUCUGGGCCACUACUGACACUGAGAAGCGAAAGCAUGGGGAGCGAACA